RNAcentral lists this transfer RNA (91 nucleotides) under Candidatus Margulisiibacteriota bacterium. RNAcentral's name for it is "tRNA-Leu". It matches the Rfam family "tRNA". Rfam says of the family: Transfer RNA (tRNA) molecules are approximately 80 nucleotides in length. Their secondary structure includes four short double-helical elements and three loops (D, anti-codon, and T loops). The record is from RNAcentral. Lineage: Bacteria; Bacillati; Candidatus Margulisiibacteriota.
GCCGAGGUGGUGGAAUUGGUAGACACGUGGGACUUAAAAUCCCAUGGUAAUUCACAUUGCCGUGCCGGUUCAAGUCCGGCCCCCGGCACCA